Molecule: ribosomal RNA, 502 nt
Filed under: uncultured bacterium
Lineage: Bacteria
Description: SSU rRNA
Rfam family: Bacterial small subunit ribosomal RNA
Source: RNAcentral
AGAUUGAACGCUGGCGGCGUGCCUAACACAUGCAAGUCGAUCGGUAACAGGUGUAGCAAUACAUGCUGACGAGAGGCGGACGGGUGAGUAAUGUUUGGGAAUCUGCCUAUUAGUGGGGGAUAACCCGGGGAAACUCGGGCUAAUACCGCAUACGCUUUACGAAGGAAAGCCGGGGACCGCAAGGCCUGGCGCUAAUAGAUGAGCCCAAAUCGGAUUAGCUAGUUGGUGAGGUAACGGCUCACCAAGGCGACGAUCCGUAGCUGGUUUGAGAGAACGACCAGCCACACCGGAACUGAGACACGGUCCGGACUCCUACGGGAGGCAGCAGUGGGGAAUAUUGGACAAUGGGGGAAACCCUGAUCCAGCGACGCCGCGUGGGUGAAGAAGGCCUGCGGGUUGUAAAGCCCUUUCGGUUGGGAAGAAAGUAUUGACCUAACACGUUAGUACCUUGACGUAACCAACAAAGAAGCACCGGCUAACUCUGCGCCAGCAGCCGCGGUAA